This 77-nucleotide transfer RNA is filed under the name Planctomycetota bacterium. RNAcentral's name for it is "tRNA-His". It matches the Rfam family "tRNA". From Rfam's summary of the family: Transfer RNA (tRNA) molecules are approximately 80 nucleotides in length. The record is from RNAcentral. Lineage: Bacteria; Pseudomonadati; Planctomycetota.
GUGGCAUUAGCUCAGUUGGUUAGAGCACCAGACUGUGACUCUGGGGGUCGCCGGUUCAAGUCCGGUAUGCCACCCCA